RNAcentral lists this ribosomal RNA (880 nucleotides) under Psychrobacter sp. 5-3-3. RNAcentral's name for it is "bacterial SSU rRNA". It matches the Rfam family "Bacterial small subunit ribosomal RNA", at positions 391 to 1264 of the family's 1533-position model. The record is from RNAcentral. Lineage: Bacteria; Pseudomonadati; Pseudomonadota; Gammaproteobacteria; Moraxellales; Moraxellaceae.
GCCUGCCGCGUGUGUGAAGAAGGCCUUUUGGUUGUAAAGCACUUUAAGCAGUGAAGAAGACUCUUCGGUUAAUACCCGGAGACGAUGACAUUAGCUGCAGAAUAAGCACCGGCUAACUCUGUGCCAGCAGCCGCGGUAAUACAGAGGGUGCAAGCGUUAAUCGGAAUUACUGGGCGUAAAGGGAGCGUAGGUGGCUCGAUAAGUCAGAUGUGAAAUCCCCGGGCUCAACCUGGGAACUGCAUCUGAUACUGUUGAGCUAGAGUAUGUGAGAGGAAGGUAGAAUUCCAGGUGUAGCGGUGAAAUGCGUAGAGAUCUGGAGGAAUACCGAUGGCGAAGGCAGCCUUCUGGCAUAAUACUGACACUGAGGCUCGAAAGCGUGGGUAGCAAACAGGAUUAGAUACCCUGGUAGUCCACGCCGUAAACGAUGUCUACUAGUCGUUGGGUCCCUUGAGGACUUAGUGACGCAGCUAACGCAAUAAGUAGACCGCCUGGGGAGUACGGCCGCAAGGUUAAAACUCAAAUGAAUUGACGGGGGCCCGCACAAGCGGUGGAGCAUGUGGUUUAAUUCGAUGCAACGCGAAGAACCUUACCUGGUCUUGACAUAUCUAGAAUCCUGCAGAGAUGCGGGAGUGCCUUCGGGAAUUAGAAUACAGGUGCUGCAUGGCUGUCGUCAGCUCGUGUCCGUGAGAUGUUGGGUUAAGUCCCGCAACGAGCGCAACCCUUGUCCUUAGUUACCAGCGGGUUAAGCCGGGAACUCUAAGGAUACUGCCAGUGACAAACUGGAGGAAGGCGGGACGACGUCAAGUCAUCAUGGCCCUUACGACCAGGGCUUCACACGUGCUACAAUGGUAGGUACAGAGGGCAGCUUCACAGCGAUGUG